AGUAUCGGGCAUCUAUCGGGGUGUUUCGCGUGCAACUUUCAAUGUAUAUCGAAAUGCAAAUUUGUGUCUCUACGAAGGUGUGGAACAUCUUCCAUUUGAACAAAUUACUAGUUGGGUGGUUAGUUCAAUAAGUUGAGGUCGGGUGUUGUGUAGUUGUUGGAGACUUUCGAAGUACAUACAGCACAGAGUUACUGAUGUUGAGGUGAAAACAAAAGAAAUUAGAAAAUGGCGGAUUCACGGAAACCUCAAGGACCUGUAGUGAAAUUUAUCAAAAGUUUAUAUUAUAAUCCAUUUAGAUGGUCACUAAUCAAGACUGUAGCCAUGUUUGCACUCGGUGUUCGGAUAGCACGGGAAUGUAAAGGCCUGGAACUGAUGCCAUCGUAGUUGUACCAGAUUAUUUAAUAAACGAAAAUUUGUUAAUGUUA
RNAcentral lists this long non-coding RNA (425 nucleotides) under Schistocerca americana (American grasshopper). RNAcentral's name for it is "uncharacterized LOC124555536". Lineage: Eukaryota; Metazoa; Arthropoda; Insecta; Orthoptera; Acrididae. The record is from RNAcentral.